CAGUAGCCACGGUAAUACGAAGGGGGCUAGCGUUGUUCGGAUUUACUGGGCGUAAAGCGCACGUAGGCGGACUUUUAAGUCAGGGGUGAAAUCCCGGGGCUCGACCCCGGAACUGCCUUUGAUACUGGAAGUCUUGAGUAUGGUAGAGGUGAGUGGAAUUCCGAGUGUAGAGGUGAAAUUCGUAGAUAUUCGGAGGAACACCAGUGGCGAAGGCGGCUCACUGGACCAUUACUGACGCUGAGGUGCGAAAGCGUGGGGAGCAAACAGGAUUAGAGACCCCGGUAGUCCCUGUUUCUUAUAC
This 301-nucleotide ribosomal RNA is filed under the name uncultured bacterium. RNAcentral describes it as "partial 16S ribosomal RNA". It matches the Rfam family "Bacterial small subunit ribosomal RNA", at positions 509 to 807 of the family's 1533-position model. The record is from RNAcentral.